UAUUGCGCAAUGGGCGGAAGCCUGACGCAGCGACGCCGCGUGGGGGAUGACGGCCUUCGGGUUGUAAACCUCUUUCAGCGCCGACGAAGCCUUUCGGGGUGACGGUAGGUGCAGAAGAAGCGCCGGCUAACUACGUGCCAGCAGCCGCGGUAAUACGUAGGGCGCAAGCGUUGUCCGGAAUUAUUGGGCGUAAAGAGCUCGUAGGCGGUUUGUCGCGUCUGUCGUGAAAGCCCACGGCUUAACCGUGGGUCUGCGGUGGAUACGGGCAGGCUAGAGGCAGGUAGGGGAGAAUGGAAUUCCCGGUGUAGCGGUGAAAUGCGCAGAUAUCGGGAGGAACACCGGUGGCGAAGGCGGUUCUCUGGGCCUGUACUGACGCUGAGGAGCGAAAGCGUGGGGAGCGAACAG
RNAcentral lists this ribosomal RNA (405 nucleotides) under uncultured bacterium. Its description in RNAcentral is "bacterial SSU rRNA". It matches the Rfam family "Bacterial small subunit ribosomal RNA", at positions 362 to 775 of the family's 1533-position model. The record is from RNAcentral.